RNAcentral lists this microRNA (18 nucleotides) under Echinococcus granulosus. RNAcentral describes it as "egr-miR-10266-3p". Lineage: Eukaryota; Metazoa; Platyhelminthes; Cestoda; Cyclophyllidea; Taeniidae. The record is from miRBase by way of RNAcentral.
AGGAAAGUGAAGGAGGCA